GGAGGAAGGUGGGGAUGACGUCAAGUCAUCAUGCCCCUUAUGUCCAGGGCUUCACACAUGCUACAAUGGCCGGUACAAAGGGCUGCGAUGCCGUGAGGUUUAGCGAAUCCUUUUAAAGCCGGUCUCAGUUCGGAUCGGGGUCUGCAACUCGACCCCGUGAAGUCGGA
RNAcentral lists this ribosomal RNA (167 nucleotides) under uncultured Actinomycetes bacterium. Its description in RNAcentral is "uncultured actinobacterium partial 16S ribosomal RNA". It matches the Rfam family "Bacterial small subunit ribosomal RNA", at positions 1165 to 1330 of the family's 1533-position model. The record is from RNAcentral. Lineage: Bacteria; Bacillati; Actinomycetota; Actinomycetes.